Ovis aries (sheep) is the source of this 89-nucleotide transfer RNA. It matches the Rfam family "tRNA". Rfam says of the family: Transfer RNA (tRNA) molecules are approximately 80 nucleotides in length. Their secondary structure includes four short double-helical elements and three loops (D, anti-codon, and T loops). NCBI's taxonomy places the organism in Eukaryota, Metazoa, Chordata, Mammalia, Artiodactyla, Bovidae. The record is from Rfam.
CCUUCGAUAGCUCAGUUGGUAGAGCGGAGGACUGUAGUGAGUGAGCUGUGGCAAUCCUUAGGUCGCUGGUUCGAUUCCGGCUCGAAGGA